AAUCAACGCUGGCGGCGUGCCUCAGACAUGCAAGUCGAACGAUUAAACUUUCCUUCGGGGAAGAUAUAGAGUGGCGCACGGGUGAGUAACACGUAAGUAAUCUACCCUUGGGUGGGGAAUAACAUCGGGAAACCGAUGCUAAUACCGCAUAAUGCAGCGGCUUCUUAUGAAGACAGUUGUUAAAGCAUUUAUGUGCCUGAGGAGGAGCUUGCGGCAGAUUAGCAGUUGGUAAGGUAAUGGCUUACCAAGGCGACGAUCUGUAGCCGACCUGAGAGGGUGGUCGGUCACACUGACACUGAA
This 300-nucleotide ribosomal RNA is filed under the name uncultured bacterium. RNAcentral's name for it is "bacterial SSU rRNA". It matches the Rfam family "Bacterial small subunit ribosomal RNA", at positions 32 to 323 of the family's 1533-position model. The record is from RNAcentral.